This 1295-nucleotide long non-coding RNA is filed under the name Equus caballus (horse). RNAcentral's name for it is "lncRNA (ENSECAG00000053839.1)". Lineage: Eukaryota; Metazoa; Chordata; Mammalia; Perissodactyla; Equidae. The record is from RNAcentral.
CAAUAAACAGUAACAGAACCUACCUUCUGGGAUGGUUGUUUUGAGGAUUACAUGAGCUAAUACAUGCACAGUUCUGUUUGGAAGAGGGCCUGUCAUAUGGACUCCAUAAAUGUUGUGGGGUGGGAAGACAUCGUGUGGUUUUUGUUGUUUUUUCCAUGAUCAUUAUUAUGACAUCCUGGUCUUAUUUCAUGGUUGUGGUAUCUUAGUUUUUCUCUCUGAAGAUUUAGUUCUUUGUUUCCUUCUGCUUUCUGCAUAGGCUGUUUUUUCAGAAUUCCUUUGUUUCUCUUUGUUGUGGUCUAUUUUUUCAUGUUAGGACCUUUCCUCAAAUGUCUGAUGAUCUUUGUCUCUGUGUUGAUAUUGAAGAGUGAGACACUAAAGAGAUGAGAGAGGUUUAAUAACCAGCCUUCAAGAUGGCCCCCAGUGAUUCUCACCUGCUGGUAUUUGCACCUCCUGCGUAGUUCCCUCCUACAUUGACUAGAGCAGCCUGUGUCACCAAUACAUUGCAGAAAUGAUGGAGAGUGACUUCCAGGGCUAGAUCAUAAAAGACAUUUCAGCUUUCACCUUACUGUUUGAGACCAUUUGCUGUGGGUGAGGUUGGCGGCCAUGUUGUAAGGAUACUCAAGCAGUCCUGUGGUGAAGUCCAUGUGGUGGAGAACUGAGGUCUCUUGCCAGGCAUUGGUGCUAACUUGCCAGGUAUGGGAGUGAGCCAUCUUGGAGGAAGAUCCUCCAGCCCCCGUCAAGCCUUUAGAUGACUACAGCUCCAGGCAGCAUCUUGACUGAAACCUCACAAGAAACCCUGAGCCAGAACCACCCAGCUAAGCCAUUCCAGAACUCUUGACCUACAGAAACUGUGAGUGCAGGUGGUGACUUGGAAAAAGGAGAGGAGGAGGAGGUCUACACCAGCCCUUUGAGGAGGACCCGUGUGAGAUAACUGAAAGGAGAAGCCUGAGCAGAUGCUAAGAACAAAGAUUACGUAAUGCAGACCAAAAUAUGUUCCUAUUAUGAUGGCCACAGGAGUUCAGCAAUACCCAAACUAAUUUACUCCUUGUUGGAGAAGACUAGUCCUCUUAGCACACGCUGGGAUGUUACAAGGUCACCUGCUGUCUACGCUUGAGUAACCACCUCCUUAAUCAAGAUAGAGAACAUUCUCAUCACCCAGAAAGUUCCCUCACGUCCGUUUCCAGGCAAUCCUGCAGCUCGUGUCCCUGCCCCAGAGGCAGUCACUGCUCUUGAUUCUAUCGCUAUAGCUCAGAUUUUUUUUAGAACUUCUACGAUUUCUCUAGAACUUCAUAUAA